Molecule: transfer RNA, 88 nt
Filed under: Rhodospirillales bacterium
Lineage: Bacteria; Pseudomonadati; Pseudomonadota; Alphaproteobacteria; Rhodospirillales
Description: tRNA-Ser
Rfam family: tRNA
About the family: Transfer RNA (tRNA) molecules are approximately 80 nucleotides in length. Their secondary structure includes four short double-helical elements and three loops (D, anti-codon, and T loops). Further hydrogen bonds mediate the characteristic L-shaped molecular structure. tRNAs have two regions of fundamental functional importance: the anti-codon, which is responsible for specific mRNA codon recognition, and the 3' end, to which the tRNAs corresponding amino acid is attached (by aminoacyl-tRNA synthetases). tRNAs cope with the degeneracy of the genetic code in two manners: having more than one tRNA (with a specific anti-codon) for a particular amino acid; and 'wobble' base-pairing, i.e. permitting non-standard base-pairing at the 3rd anti-codon position.
Source: RNAcentral
GGAGGGAUGGCCGAGCGGUUCAAGGCGCACGCCUGGAAAGCGUGUUGGGUGAAAGCCCUCGCGGGUUCGAAUCCCGCUCCCUCCGCCA